RNAcentral lists this RNase P RNA (288 nucleotides) under Camponotus floridanus (Florida carpenter ant). RNAcentral's name for it is "Nuclear RNase P". It matches the Rfam family "Nuclear RNase P". Rfam says of the family: Ribonuclease P (RNase P) is a ubiquitous endoribonuclease, found in archaea, bacteria and eukarya as well as chloroplasts and mitochondria. Its best characterised activity is the generation of mature 5'-ends of tRNAs by cleaving the 5'-leader elements of precursor-tRNAs. Cellular RNase Ps are ribonucleoproteins. The record is from Rfam by way of RNAcentral. Lineage: Eukaryota; Metazoa; Arthropoda; Insecta; Hymenoptera; Formicidae.
GUAGUUUCGAUCUAUUGGAAGGGAUACACAAACGAGGCAUACAUUGCCAUACUCUCCCGGGAAGGUCUGAGAUAAGAUCGUUGAACGUUCUAGACGGACGGUAUCACAAUGAUAUGUACGAGAACCAGAAAUAGCUUUACGUUUUCCAAAAUGCCAGGGAUGCUUUUUUAACAGCAGAGGCGACUGGAAACGAAAAGUUGGAAUCUCGUAUGAUUAGCUUUUUUAGUAUAAUCCAUAAGUCUGGUAUAAUUUAUACCUGAAACUCAAUUCAGACUAAUCCGUUGCUAC